ACAAAUUCCAUCCCAAAUUAAGCAGCCUUUAUUUCAUAUCAGAUCGUCUCUAUUAAUGAACAUUGGCAUUUGUUCGGUGCUGCACUCGGAACUAUGAGUGGUAAUGGAUGGCUUAGACAUCGCGUGGCAGCAAGGAUUAACCAAUUGAUAGUGAAAAGUGAUAGCUUGGAAACUGUUAAUAUGAUUCAAAAGCUUAACAGCGACAACUGCUAGUUAGACGAUGGACUGUCAGACUCCAGCAUAUUCCUCGCACAGCAGCAGCUGAUAUUAUGACGAUGUCUCUAAAAGAUGCUUUUGUAGGCCUGCAAUUUCUUGAGGAGUCCACAGAUAUGAUUCAAUCGGCUAUUCUUCAUGUUGCAGAACUAAAUUUUUAGUUUUAUAGGUCAAUUGACUAGUCCGUACUAAGUUCUCUUCUUUUAUAAAAAAAAUAAAAAUAAGAUAUUUAUAAAA
Long non-coding RNA from Gossypium arboreum, 450 nucleotides. RefSeq lists it as uncharacterized. The transcript is spliced from 2 exons. The record is from RefSeq and is a predicted model, not a curated record. Lineage: Eukaryota; Viridiplantae; Streptophyta; Magnoliopsida; Malvales; Malvaceae.